Molecule: ribosomal RNA, 499 nt
Filed under: uncultured bacterium
Lineage: Bacteria
Description: SSU rRNA
Rfam family: Bacterial small subunit ribosomal RNA
Source: RNAcentral
AGAUUGAACGCUGGCGGCGUGCUUAACACAUGCAAGUCGAGCGGUAACGCGGGAGCAAUCCUGGCGACGAGCGGCGAACGGGUGAGUAAUGCUUGGGAAUCUGCCCAUUAGUGGGGAACAACCAGCCGAAAGGUUGGCUAAUACCGCAUACGCCCUACGGGGGAAAGCGGGGGAUCGUAAGACCUCGCGCUAAUGGAUGAGCCCAAGUCGGAUUAGCUUGUUGGUAGGGUAACGGCCUACCAAGGCGACAAUCCGUAGCUGGUCUGAGAGGACGACCAGCCACACUGGGACUGAGACACGGCCCAGACUCCUACGGGAGGCAGCAGUGGGGGAAUAUUGGACAAUGGGGGAAACCCUGAUCCAGCGACGCCGCGUGUGUGAAGAAGGCCUGCGGGUUGUAAAGCACUUUUAGUGGGAUGAAAAGCCUAGGGUUAACACCUCUGGGUCUUGACCUAACCCACAGAAAAGCACCGGCUAACUCUGCGCCAGCAGCCGCGGU